Irineochytrium annulatum is the source of this 73-nucleotide non-coding RNA. Lineage: Eukaryota; Fungi; Chytridiomycota; Chytridiomycetes; Chytridiales; Chytridiaceae. The record is from the annotation of a GenBank genome assembly.
GGCCGCGUGGCAAAAUGGUUACCGCGCUUGACUACGAAUCAAGAGAUUCCAGGUUCGACCCCUGGCGUGGUCG